CUUCCGGGAUGUCGCAAACGGGAACCACCGGGAAGUCCCGGCCUCGCUGGCCUCCUCUUCCUCCUCUUCCUCCUCUUCCUCCUCUUCCUCCUCUUCCUCCUCUUCCUCCUCUUCCUCCUCUUCUUCCUCCUCUCACCAAGUUGUCUGCUCACGUAGGGCGGGCAGGGAGAGGAGCAAAGGUCGUGGGUGGAGGUGGCAUUUGGCCACGGGGUCAAAACCCUCCUCCCAGAGCCCCCCUAACCCCCGCCUCCCCAACACCGAGCCUGGAGCCCCCCCAGUUCCCUUCCCUGACCGCGGAGGGUCCUGCACCCAGCAUCUCCCCAGCAUCUCCCCGGUGUCAGGGUCCCCCGGGGCCGUAUCCCAGGUUGGGGGGUUUGUAUCCCGGGUCUGGGGGGUGAUGGGGGGGCUGUAUCCUUGCUCGGGGGAUGAGGGGGCUGUGUGCCCCCCCCCCAACCCCCUCUCUCUGUCCCCACAGUCAUGCUGACGGGUGGGAUCGUGGCUGUGGCAGGGCAGUUCAAGGGCUGGUACUUCGCGGCGUACGCCAUUGUGGCAGGCGUCUUGGUCUGUCUGCUCGAGUACCCCAGGAGCAAGAGGCAAAAAGGUUCCACCAUGGAGAGGCGGUGAGUGACACGUGUGUGUGUGUGUGUGUGUCCCCUGUCACCCCCAGGGUUGGAGGUCCUGCUACCCAGCUCCCCCCACCCAGGCAGAGGGCCGGGGGUCAGAAGCAGUGGGGUAGCAGCAGGGCUGGAUCCUACAGGCGGGCUCCCUGGGGUCCCCCAUGCAGGGACAGCGUGGGUAUGGGGGUCCUUUGGGGCUGGGUGCCCCCCUUUUUUACCCCGGCCCCCCGCUGAUGCCCGCAAGAAACAGCCGGCGGAGGUCGGGGGGCAAGUGAACCCCAUCCCCGUCGAGGCUGAGUAACGAUGGGGGGGGAAGCCCUCCUGCCACUGCUGCACCGCUCGUGCUCCUGCUUCCCAGCUGCACCCCAGCUCCUCGGAGGGGAAACCGGGGUGCCUGGCUUCAGGGGAUCCCCAAAUCCCCAGGGAUGCUCAGCUCCUCAGGGGGGGGUCCCCAGAUCCUGGGGAAUCCCCAUAUCCCCAGGGAUGCUCAGCUCCUCAGGGAGGGUCCCCAGAUCCUGGGGGAUCCCCAAAUCCCCAGGGAUGCUCAGGUCCCUGAGGGGUUCCCUAGCUCCUGCUCCAUCUCCAAGGAAGCUCAGCUCUCUGGGGGUUUCCCAGCUCCUGGGGAUCCCCAAAUCCCUGAGGACGCUCAGCUCCCUGAGAGCUUCCCAACUCCCUGAGGGAUCCCCAGCUCCUGGGGGUCAGGGAGGGGGGUCCCCAGCUCUCCAAGCAGUUCCAAGCCGUCCCCAGUUCCCUGGGAGAUCUCCAAAUCCCUGGGGAACUCCAGCUCUCCAGGGAAUCCCCAGCUCCCUGAGGGGUCCCCAGGCCUCGCACUGCCACGAGGAGGGGGGUGACCAGCCAGUUGUGCUCCCUGCACCGGCUCUCGCUGUUUUUUUUGUCACUUCUGUGGUUUCUGUUGCAAUAAAAAGUGGGAAAGGAGCCGGCUCCCUUUGCCUCCUGCUGCUCCCCGGGGUGGGGGGUGGGGGGGGCUGGGGCAGGGUUUGGUGGGAUUUAAGGACAAACAGCCCAAUUAC
This 1648-nucleotide long non-coding RNA is filed under the name Calidris pugnax (ruff). Its description in RNAcentral is "lncRNA (ENSCPUG00000009712.1)". The record is from RNAcentral. Lineage: Eukaryota; Metazoa; Chordata; Aves; Charadriiformes; Scolopacidae.